This 612-nucleotide ribosomal RNA is filed under the name Papiliotrema laurentii. RNAcentral describes it as "eukaryotic LSU rRNA". It matches the Rfam family "Eukaryotic large subunit ribosomal RNA", at positions 47 to 648 of the family's 3401-position model. The record is from RNAcentral. Lineage: Eukaryota; Fungi; Basidiomycota; Tremellomycetes; Tremellales; Rhynchogastremaceae.
UAAGCGGAGGAAAAGAAACUAACAAGGAUUCCCCUAGUAACGGCGAGUGAACCGGGAAGAGCUCAAAUUUGAAAUCUGGCGUCCUCAGGGCGUCCGAGUUGUAAUCUAUAGAGGCGUUUUCCGUGCCGGACCGUGUCCAAGUUCCUUGGAACAGGAUAUCAAAGAGGGUGACAAUCCCGUACUUGACACGACGACCGGUGCUCUGUGAUACGUCUUCUACGAGUCGAGUUGUUUGGGAAUGCAGCUCAAAAUGGGUGGUGAGUUCCAUCUAAAGCUAAAUAUUGGCGAGAGACCGAUAGCGAACAAGUACCGUGAGGGAAAGAUGAAAAGCACUUUGGAAAGAGAGUUAAACAGUACGUGAAAUUGUUGAAAGGGAAACGAUUGAAGUCAGUCGUGACCGAGAGGCUCAGCCGGUUCUGCCGGUGUAUUCCCCUCGGUCGGGUCAACAUCAGUUUUGUCCGGUGGAUAAGGGCGGUAGGAAGGUGGCACCCUCGGGUGUGUUAUAGCCUGCCGUCGCAUACAUCGGGUGAGACUGAGGAACGCAGCUCGCCUUUAUGGCCGGGGUUCGCCCACGUCCGAGCUUAGGAUGUUGACAUAAUGGCUUUAAACGAC